GUGUCAGCAGCCGCGGUAAUACGUAGGGGGCGAGCGUUGUCCGGAUUUAUUGGGCGUAAAACGCUUGUAGGCGGCCACGCCGCGUCGGACGUGAAAUCUCCCGGCUCAACUGGGAGGGGUCGUGCGAUACGGGCGGGCUCGAGGCAGGUAGGGGGAAGCGGAAUUCCCGGUGUAGUGGUGGAAUGCGUAGAUAUCGGGAGGAACACCAGUGGCGAAGGCGGCUUCCUGGACCUGAUCUGACGCUGAGGAGCGAAAGCGUGGGGAGCGAUCCGGAUUAGAUACCCGGGUAGUCCACGCCGUAAACGGUGCGCACUAGGUGUCGGGGGUAUCGACCCCUCCGGUGCCGCAGCUAACGCAUUAAGUGCGCUGCCUGGGGAGUACGGCCGCAAGGCUAAA
Molecule: ribosomal RNA, 396 nt
Filed under: uncultured bacterium
Lineage: Bacteria
Description: bacterial SSU rRNA
Rfam family: Bacterial small subunit ribosomal RNA
Source: RNAcentral